This is a small nucleolar RNA of Gorilla gorilla gorilla (western lowland gorilla), 86 nucleotides long. NCBI's taxonomy places the organism in Eukaryota, Metazoa, Chordata, Mammalia, Primates, Hominidae. The record is from Ensembl.
UUUCCAGAAUUACGGGUUUGACAAACCAAACAUUCAUUAUUUUCUUCUCUAGAGAGAGUUUUUGCCUUAUAGAUCUGAUCAGGAAA